RNAcentral lists this ribosomal RNA (253 nucleotides) under uncultured bacterium. RNAcentral's name for it is "partial 16S ribosomal RNA". It matches the Rfam family "Bacterial small subunit ribosomal RNA", at positions 524 to 776 of the family's 1533-position model. The record is from RNAcentral.
UACGUAGGUGGCAAGCGUUGUCCGGAUUUAUUGGGCGUAAAGCGCCCGCAGGCGGCUUGAUAAGUUUCAGGUGAAAUCUCCCGGCUCAACCGGGAGGGUGCCUGGAAAACUAUCAGGCUUGAGUCAUGGAGAGGGAUGUGGAAUUCCCGGUGUAGUGGUGAAAUGCGUAGAUAUCGGGAGGAACACCAGUGGCGAAGGCGGCAUCCUGGCCAUGUACUGACGCUCAGGGGCGAAAGCGUGGGGAGCAAACCGG